RNAcentral lists this ribosomal RNA (397 nucleotides) under uncultured bacterium. Its description in RNAcentral is "partial 16S ribosomal RNA". It matches the Rfam family "Bacterial small subunit ribosomal RNA", at positions 523 to 918 of the family's 1533-position model. The record is from RNAcentral.
AUACGUAGGUGGCAAGCGUUGUCCGGAUUUAUUGGGCGUAAAGCGAGCGCAGGCGGUUUCUUAAGUCUGAUGUGAAAGCCCCCGGCUCAACCGGGGAGGGGCAUUGGAAACUGGGAGACUUGAGUGCAGAAGAGGAGAGUGGAAUUCCCUGUGUAGCGGUGAAAUGCGUAGAUAUAUGGAGGAACACCAGUGGCGAAGGCGACUCUCUGGUCUGUAACUGACGCUGAGGCUCGAAAGCGUGGGGAGCAAACAGGAUUAGAUACCCUGGUAGUCCACGCCGUAAACGAUGAGUGCUAAGUGUUGGAGGGUUUCCGCCCUUCAGUGCUGCAGCUAACGCAUUAAGCACUCCGCCUGGGGAGUACGACCGCAAGGUUGAAACUCAAAUGAAUUGACGGGG